AAAGACCACUCAAGCGAUUUUGCUUGGUAUUGGAAGACGAGUGCCUCUGGCCCUCCCUUCCGAAAUUCAAUGGCGGAAAGUCUCACGUGCCCCGGCGUAGUAAGUUUAUCUUUCGCUUGGACCAUGAGGCGUUCUCGCCCUCAAAUCCCCAAUACUAUA
This 159-nucleotide unclassified non-coding RNA is filed under the name uncultured Anthracobia. RNAcentral's name for it is "sequence contains ITS2". The record is from RNAcentral. Lineage: Eukaryota; Fungi; Ascomycota; Pezizomycetes; Pezizales; Pyronemataceae.